ACGACUCUCGGCAACGGAUAUCUCGGCUCUCGCAUCGAUGAAGAACGUAGCGAAAUGCGAUACUUGGUGUGAAUUGCAGAAUCCCGUGAACCAUCGAGUUUUUAACGCAAGUUGCGCCCUAGGCCAUCCGGCCGAGGGCACGCCUGCCUGGGCGUCACGUAC
RNAcentral lists this ribosomal RNA (162 nucleotides) under Stylophorum diphyllum (celandine poppy). RNAcentral's name for it is "5.8S ribosomal RNA". It matches the Rfam family "5.8S ribosomal RNA". From Rfam's summary of the family: 5.8S ribosomal RNA (5.8S rRNA) is a component of the large subunit of the eukaryotic ribosome. It is transcribed by RNA polymerase I as part of the 45S precursor that also contains 18S and 28S rRNA. Lineage: Eukaryota; Viridiplantae; Streptophyta; Magnoliopsida; Ranunculales; Papaveraceae. The record is from RNAcentral.